Molecule: ribosomal RNA, 408 nt
Filed under: uncultured bacterium
Lineage: Bacteria
Description: partial 16S ribosomal RNA
Rfam family: Bacterial small subunit ribosomal RNA
Source: RNAcentral
GACGAACGCUGGCGGCGUGCUUAACACAUGCAAGUCGAACGAAGUGGCGAACGGGUGAGUAAUACGUGGGUAACCUGCCUUAGACAUUGGGAUAGCCUCGGGAAACCGGGAUUAAUACCAAAUGGUCUAAGGUGGACUCGCGUCCCAUUAGCUAGUUGGUGAGGUAACGGCCCACCAAGGCGGUGACGGGUAGCCGGCCUGAGAGGGGGACCGGCCACAUUGGGACUGAGAUACGGCCCAGACUCCUACGGGAGGCAGCAGUGGGGGAUAUUGCACAAUGGGCGAAAGCCUGAUGCAGCGACGCCGCGUGGGGGAUGAAGGCUUUCGGGUUGUAAACCUCUUUCGCUAUCGACGGGGUAGGUGGAGAAGAAGCGCCGGCUAACUACGUGCCAGCAGCCGCGGUAAUAC